RNAcentral lists this ribosomal RNA (495 nucleotides) under uncultured bacterium. Its description in RNAcentral is "partial 16S ribosomal RNA". It matches the Rfam family "Bacterial small subunit ribosomal RNA", at positions 28 to 507 of the family's 1533-position model. The record is from RNAcentral.
GACGAACGCUGGCGGCGUGCCUAAUACAUGCAAGUAGAACGCUCAAGCAGGAGCUUGCUUCUCUGGACGAGUUGCGCACGGGUGAGUAACGCGUAGGUAACCUGCCUCUUAGAGGGGGGUAACUAUUGGAAACGACAGCUAAUACCGCAUAAUAGCUGUUGUUGCAUGAUGACUGAUUGAAAGAUGCAGUUGUACCGCUACCAGUUGGUGCUGCGUCGUCUUAGCUAGUUGGUGGGGUAACGGCUCACCAAGGCGACGAUACAUCGGCGGCGUGAGAGGGGGGUCGGCCACAAUGGGACUGGGACACGGGUCAGGACUCCUACGGGGGGAGCAAGAGGGGAUCUUUGGGCAUGGAGGGAAGGCUUGACGGGGAAAGCCGCGGGGGUGAAGAAGGUUCUCGGGUCCGAAAGACCCGUUGUAAGGGAAGAAAGAGUGUGGGAGUGGAAAGUUCACGCUGUGACGGUACCUUAUCAGAAAGGCACGGCUAACUACGUG